RNAcentral lists this unclassified non-coding RNA (333 nucleotides) under soil metagenome. RNAcentral describes it as "partial contains 5.8S ribosomal RNA, internal transcribed spacer 2, and large subunit ribosomal RNA". The stretch from base 1 to 120 matches the Rfam family "5.8S ribosomal RNA", at positions 35 to 154 of the family's 154-position model. The record is from RNAcentral.
GAUGAAGAACGUAGCGAAAUGCGAUAAGUAAUGUGAAUUGCAGAAUUCAGUGAAUCAUCGAAUCUUUGAACGCACAUUGCGCCCGCCAGUAUUCUGGCGGGCAUGCCUGUUCGAGCGUCAUUUCAACCAUCAAGCCCCCGGCUUGUGUUGGGGACCUGCGGCUGCCGCAGGCCCUGAAAUGCAGUGGCGGGCUCACUGUCACUCCGAGCGUAGUAGUUACAUCUCGCUCUGGGCGUGCUGCGGGUUCCGGCCGUUAAAAGCCUUAUUUACCCAAGGUUGACCUCGGAUCAGGUAGGAAGACCCGCUGAACUUAAGCAUAUCAAUAGCGGAGGA